UUACCGUAGGUGAACCUGCGGAAGGAUCAUUAUUGUAUAACCGAGGUGCGAGGGCUGUCGCUGACCCGAAAGGUCGUGCACGCCCGAGUGCCCUCACACACAUCCAUCUCACCCCUAUGUGCACCACCGCGUGAGUCUCCCUUUGGCUUGUUCGGAGGGGGGCUUACGUUUUCACACAAACUUUGUAUGCAGUGUAGAAUGUAUUUUUUGUUUUUGCGAUCACGCAAUCAAUACAACUUUCAACAACGGAUCUCUUGGCUCUC
This 263-nucleotide unclassified non-coding RNA is filed under the name plant metagenome. RNAcentral describes it as "partial contains small subunit ribosomal RNA, internal transcribed spacer 1, and 5.8S ribosomal RNA". The record is from RNAcentral.